RNAcentral lists this ribosomal RNA (490 nucleotides) under uncultured bacterium. Its description in RNAcentral is "partial 16S ribosomal RNA". It matches the Rfam family "Bacterial small subunit ribosomal RNA", at positions 28 to 507 of the family's 1533-position model. The record is from RNAcentral.
GAUGAACGCUAGCGAUAGGCUUAACACAUGCAAGUCGAGGGGCAGCAUGGUCUUAGCUUGCUAAGACUGAUGGCGACCGGCGCACGGGUGCGUAACGCGUAUGCAACUUGCCUCACAGAGGGGGAUAACCCGUCGAAAGACGGACUAAUACCGCGUACACUUGGGAUAGGGCAUCCUGACCCAAGGAAAUGAAAUUCGCUGUGAGAUAGGCAUGCGUCCCAUUAGCUAGUUGGUGAGGUAACGGCUCACCAAGGCGACGAUGGGUAGGGGAACUGAGAGGUUGAACCCCCACACUGGUACUGAGACUCGGACCAGACUCCUACGGGAGGCAGCAGUGAGGAAUAUUGGUCAAUGGGCGAGAGCCUGAACCAGCCAAGUCGCGUGAAGGAUGACUGUCUUAUGGAUUGUAAACUUCUUUUAUACGGGAAUAACAAGAGCCACGUGUGGCUCCCUGCAUGUACCGUAUGAAUAAGCAUCGGCUAACUCCGUG